GGGGGAUAUCUGUGUGUGCAGGUGACUAUUACUGUGCAUAAUUAUUAGGCAACUUAACGAAAAACAAAUAUAUACCCAUUUCAAUGAUUUAUUUUUCCCAGUGAAACCAAUAUAACAUCUCCACAUUCACAAAUAUACAUUUCUGACAUUCAAAAACCAAACAAAAACAAAUCAGCGACCAAUAUAGCCACCUUUCUUUGCAAGGACACUCAAAAGCCUGCCAUCCAUGGAUUCUGUCAGUGUUUUGAUCUGUUCACCAUUAACAUUGCGUGCAGCAGCAACCACAGCCUCCCAGACACUGUUCAGAGAGGUGUACUGUUUUCCCUCCUUGUAAAUCUCACAUUUGAUGAUGGACCACAGGUUCUCAAUGGGGUUCAGAUCAGGUGAACAAGGAGGCCAUGUCAUUAGUUUUUCUUCUUUUAUACCCUUUCUUGCCAGCCACGCUGUGGAGUACUUGGACGCGCGUGAUGGAGCAUUGUCCUGCAUGAAAAUCAUGUUUUUCUUGAAGGAUGCAGACUUCUUCCUGUACCACUGCUUGAAGAAGGUGUCUUCCAGAAACUGGCAGUAGGACUGGGAGUUGAGCUUGACUCCAUCCUCAAUCCGAAAAGGCCCCACAA
This is a long non-coding RNA of Oreochromis aureus, 617 nucleotides long. The record is from Ensembl. Lineage: Eukaryota; Metazoa; Chordata; Actinopteri; Cichliformes; Cichlidae.